This 315-nucleotide long non-coding RNA is filed under the name Capra hircus (goat). Its description in RNAcentral is "lncRNA (ENSCHIG00000006030.1)". The record is from RNAcentral. Lineage: Eukaryota; Metazoa; Chordata; Mammalia; Artiodactyla; Bovidae.
ACCAGUCCGGCUAUGUUCAAACUCAGUGCAGUUUCCAACUCACAGGGCCACUGCCUGCUUGGGUGAGCAAAGGAUUUAAUGAAUAAGAACUAUGUAUGGAUGGGUUCUAACAAGAGGGGUUAGCAGGCUGAUUCAAAAAUAACUACACCACAGCAACUCUGGGUAUUUUGGAAUAAUGUAGACAGCUGAAGAGGUUCAUCUCCAAGAGAGAAUAUAUAACCAUCAUGAGCCCAAUACUGGAAAUACUCUAUUUCUUCAAAGAGGAAUAGAGCUGGAUGGUUGUUAAUGAUGGCAUGAUGCUACUGCAGUAGGGGA